This 513-nucleotide ribosomal RNA is filed under the name uncultured bacterium. RNAcentral's name for it is "bacterial SSU rRNA". It matches the Rfam family "Bacterial small subunit ribosomal RNA", at positions 28 to 532 of the family's 1533-position model. The record is from RNAcentral.
GAUGAACGCUAGCGGGAGGCUUAACACAUGCAAGUCGAGGGGCAGCAUAGGGUAGCAAUACUCUGAUGGCGACCGGCAAACGGGUGAGUAACGCGUAUGCAACCUACCCUGUACAGGGGGAUAACCCGGAGAAAUUCGGACUAAUAUCCCGUAAUAAUAUCCGGAGGCAUCUUUGGAUAUUUAAAGUUCCGACGGUACGGGAUGGGCAUGCGUAACAUUAACUGGUUGGUAAGGUAACGGCUUACCAAGGCUAUGAUGUUUAGGGGUCCUGAGAGGGUGGUCCCCCACACUGGUACUGAGACACGGACCAGACUCCUACGGGAGGCAGCAGUGAGGAAUAUUGGUCAAUGGGCGCAAGCCUGAACCAGCCAUCCCGCGUGCAGGAAGACGGCCCUAUGGGUUGUAAACUGCUUUUCCAGGGAGAGAAACUUACGCACGUGUUGCGUGACUGACGGUACCCUGGGAAUAAGCAUCGGCUAACUCCGUGCCCAGCAGCCGCGGUACACGAGAGUA